AUUGAACGCUGGCGGCAUGCCUAACACAUGCAAGUCGAACGGCAGCACGGCAGUAGCAAUACUGUGGGUGGCGAGUGGCGGACGGGUGAGGAAUACGUCGGAAUCUGCCCAGUCGUGGGGGAUAACUAGCCGAAAGGUUAGCUAAUACCGCAUACGACCGAGAGGUGAAAGCGGGGGACCGGCAAGGCCUCGCGCGAUUGGAUGAGCCGACGUCGGAUUAGCUAGUUGGUGGGGUAAAGGCCCACCAAGGCGACGAUCCGUAGCUGGUCUGAGAGGAUGAUCAGCCACACUGGAACUGAGACACGGUCCAGACUCCUACGGGAGGCAGCAGUGGGGAAUAUUGGACAAUGGGCGCAAGCCUGAUCCAGCAAUGCCGCGUGUGUGAAGAAGGCCUUCGGUUGUAAAGCACUUUAUUCAGGAACGAAAGACGUUGGAGUUAAUACUACUUGACGUGCGUGAC
RNAcentral lists this ribosomal RNA (460 nucleotides) under uncultured bacterium. Its description in RNAcentral is "bacterial SSU rRNA". It matches the Rfam family "Bacterial small subunit ribosomal RNA", at positions 29 to 473 of the family's 1533-position model. The record is from RNAcentral.